UUAAGCGACUAAGCGUACACGGUGGAUGCCCUGGCAGUCAGAGGCGAUGAAGGACGUGCUAAUCUGCGAUAAGCGUCGGUAAGGUGAUAUGAACCGUUAUAACCGGCGAUUUCCGAAUGGGGAAACCCAGUGUGAUUCGUCACACUAUCAUUAACUGAAUCCAUAGGUUAAUGAGGCGAACCGGGGGAACUGAAACAUCUAAGUACCCCGAGGAAAAGAAAUCAACCGAGAUUCCCCCAGUAGCGGCGAGCGAACGGGGAGCAGCCCAGAGCCUGAAUCAGUGUGUGUGUUAGUGGAAGCGUCUGGAAAGGCGUGCGAUACAGGGUGACAGCCCCGUACACAAAAAUGCACAUACUGUGAGCUCGAUGAGUAGGGCGGGACACGUGGUAUCCUGUCUGAAUAUGGGGGGACCAUCCUCCAAGGCUAAAUACUCCUGACUGACCGAUAGUGAACCAGUACCGUGAGGGAAAGGCGAAAAGAACCCCGGCGAGGGGAGUGAAAAAGAACCUGAAACCGUGUACGUACAAGCAGUGGGAGCACGCUUAGGCGUGUGACUGCGUACCUUUUGUAUAAUGGGUCAGCGACUUAUAUUCUGUAGCAAGGUUAACCGAAUAGGGGAGCCGAAGGGAAACCGAGUCUUAACUGGGCGUUAAGUUGCAGGGUAUAGACCCGAAACCCGGUGAUCUAGCCAUGGGCAGGUUGAAGGUUGGGUAACACUAACUGGAGGACCGAACCGACUAAUGUUGAAAAAUUAGCGGAUGACUUGUGGCUGGGGGUGAAAGGCCAAUCAAACCGGGAGAUAGCUGGUUCUCCCCGAAAGCUAUUUAGGUAGCGCCUCGUGAAUUCAUCUCCGGGGGUAGAGCACUGUUUCGGCAAGGGGGUCAUCCCGACUUACCAACCCGAUGCAAACUGCGAAUACCGGAGAAUGUUAUCACGGGAGACACACGGCGGGUGCUAACGUCCGUCGUGAAGAGGGAAACAACCCAGACCGCCAGCUAAGGUCCCAAAGUCAUGGUUAAGUGGGAAACGAUGUGGGAAGGCCCAGACAGCCAGGAUGUUGGCUUAGAAGCAGCCAUCAUUUAAAGAAAGCGUAAUAGCUCACUGGUCGAGUCGGCCUGCGCGGAAGAUGUAACGGGGCUAAACCAUGCACCGAAGCUGCGGCAGCGACGCUUAUGCGUUGUUGGGUAGGGGAGCGUUCUGUAAGCCUGUGAAGGUGUGCUGUGAGGUAUGCUGGAGGUAUCAGAAGUGCGAAUGCUGACAUAAGUAACGAUAAAGCGGGUGAAAAGCCCGCUCGCCGGAAGACCAAGGGUUCCUGUCCAACGUUAAUCGGGGCAGGGUGAGUCGACCCCUAAGGCGAGGCCGAAAGGCGUAGUCGAUGGGAAACAGGUUAAUAUUCCUGUACUUGGUGUUACUGCGAAGGGGGGACGGAGAAGGCUAUGUUGGCCGGGCGACGGUUGUCCCGGUUUAAGCGUGUAGGCUGGUUUUCCAGGCAAAUCCGGAAAAUCAAGGCCGAGGCGUGAUGACGAGGCACUACGGUGCUGAAGCAACAAAUGCCCUGCUUCCAGGAAAAGCCUCUAAGCAUCAGGUAACAUCAAAUCGUACCCCAAACCGACACAGGUGGUCAGGUAGAGAAUACCAAGGCGCUUGAGAGAACUCGGGUGAAGGAACUAGGCAAAAUGGUGCCGUAACUUCGGGAGAAGGCACGCUGAUACGUAGGUGAAGCGACUUGCUCGUGGAGCUGAAAUCAGUCGAAGAUACCAGCUGGCUGCAACUGUUUAUUAAAAACACAGCACUGUGCAAACACGAAAGUGGACGUAUACGGUGUGACGCCUGCCCGGUGCCGGAAGGUUAAUUGAUGGGGUUAGCGCAAGCGAAGCUCUUGAUCGAAGCCCCGGUAAACGGCGGCCGUAACUAUAACGGUCCUAAGGUAGCGAAAUUCCUUGUCGGGUAAGUUCCGACCUGCACGAAUGGCGUAAUGAUGGCCAGGCUGUCUCCACCCGAGACUCAGUGAAAUUGAACUCGCUGUGAAGAUGCAGUGUACCCGCGGCAAGACGGAAAGACCCCGUGAACCUUUACUAUAGCUUGACACUGAACAUUGAGCCUUGAUGUGUAGGAUAGGUGGGAGGCUUUGAAGUGUGGACGCCAGUCUGCAUGGAGCCGACCUUGAAAUACCACCCUUUAAUGUUUGAUGUUCUAACGUGGACCCGUGAUCCGGGUUGCGGACAGUGUCUGGUGGGUAGUUUGACUGGGGCGGUCUCCUCCUAAAGAGUAACGGAGGAGCACGAAGGUUGGCUAAUCCUGGUCGGACAUCAGGAGGUUAGUGCAAUGGCAUAAGCCAGCUUGACUGCGAGCGUGACGGCGCGAGCAGGUGCGAAAGCAGGUCAUAGUGAUCCGGUGGUUCUGAAUGGAAGGGCCAUCGCUCAACGGAUAAAAGGUACUCCGGGGAUAACAGGCUGAUACCGCCCAAGAGUUCAUAUCGACGGCGGUGUUUGGCACCUCGAUGUCGGCUCAUCACAUCCUGGGGCUGAAGUAGGUCCCAAGGGUAUGGCUGUUCGCCAUUUAAAGUGGUACGCGAGCUGGGUUUAGAACGUCGUGAGACAGUUCGGUCCCUAUCUGCCGUGGGCGCUGGAGAACUGAGGGGGGCUGCUCCUAGUACGAGAGGACCGGAGUGGACGCAUCACUGGUGUUCGGGUUGUCAUGCCAAUGGCACUGCCCGGUAGCUAAAUGCGGAAGAGAUAAGUGCUGAAAGCAUCUAAGCACGAAACUUGCCCCGAGAUGAGUUCUCCCUGANNNNNNNNNNNNNNNNNNNNNNNNNCCUUUAAGGGUCCUGAAGGAACGUUGAAGACGACGACGUUGAUAGGCCGGGUGUGUAAGCGCAGCGAUGCGUUGAGCUAACCGGUACUAAUGAACCGUGAGGCUUAACCUU
Molecule: ribosomal RNA, 2926 nt
Filed under: Shigella flexneri
Lineage: Bacteria; Pseudomonadati; Pseudomonadota; Gammaproteobacteria; Enterobacterales; Enterobacteriaceae
Description: bacterial LSU rRNA
Rfam family: Bacterial large subunit ribosomal RNA
Source: RNAcentral